UACGAAGGGGGCUAGCGUUGUUCGGAAUUACUGGGCGUAAAGCGCACGUAGGCGGAUUUGUAAGUCAGGGGUGAAAUCCCGGGGCUCAACCUCGGAACUGCCUUUGAUACUGCAAAUCUCGAGUCCGAUAGAGGUGGGUGGAAUUCCUAGUGUAGAGGUGAAAUUCGUAGAUAUUAGGAAGAACACCGGUGGCGAAGGCGGCCCACUGGAUCGGUACUGACGCUGAGGUGCGAAAGCGUGGGGAGCAAACAGG
RNAcentral lists this ribosomal RNA (253 nucleotides) under uncultured bacterium. Its description in RNAcentral is "partial 16S ribosomal RNA". It matches the Rfam family "Bacterial small subunit ribosomal RNA", at positions 524 to 776 of the family's 1533-position model. The record is from RNAcentral.